CAGCUAGUUGGUAGGGUAAAGGCCUACCAAGGCUACGACGGGUCGCUGGUCUGAGAGGACGACCAGCCACACUGGCACUGAGAUACGGGCCAGACUCCUACGGGAGGCAGCAGUGAGGAAUAUUGCGCAAUGGGGGAAACCCUGACGCAGCAACGCCGCGUGUGGGAAGAAGGCCUUCGGGUCGUAAACCACUUUUGCACGGGUACGAAAAAGGGAUAUCGAACAAAUAUCCCCGAUGACGGUACCGUGAGAAUAAGCCAACGGCUAACUCUGUGCCAGCAGCCGCGGUAA
This 291-nucleotide ribosomal RNA is filed under the name uncultured bacterium. RNAcentral's name for it is "partial 16S ribosomal RNA". It matches the Rfam family "Bacterial small subunit ribosomal RNA", at positions 242 to 523 of the family's 1533-position model. The record is from RNAcentral.